RNAcentral lists this ribosomal RNA (413 nucleotides) under uncultured bacterium. RNAcentral's name for it is "bacterial SSU rRNA". It matches the Rfam family "Bacterial small subunit ribosomal RNA", at positions 917 to 1333 of the family's 1533-position model. The record is from RNAcentral.
GGGCCCGCACAAGCGGUGGAGCAUGUGGUUUAAUUCGAUGAUACGCGAGGAACCUUACCAGGGCUUAAAUGUAAGUUGCAUUAGAUAGAGAUAUCUAUUUCUUCGGACUACUUACAAGGUGCUGCAUGGUUGUCGUCAGCUCGUGCCGUGAGGUGUCAGGUUAAGUCCUAUAACGAGCGCAACCCCUAUCGUUAGUUGCCAUCGAGUCAUGUCGGGAACUCUAACAAGACUGCCGGUGCAAACCGUGAGGAAGGUGGGGAUGACGUCAAAUCAUCACGGCCCUUACGUCCUGGGCUACACACGUGCUACAAUGGCCGGUACAGAGAGCAGCCACUACGCGAGUAGGCGCGAAUCUUCAAAGCCGGUCUCAGUUCGGAUCGGAGUCUGCAACUCGACUGCAUGAAGCUGGAAUC